This 586-nucleotide ribosomal RNA is filed under the name uncultured bacterium. Its description in RNAcentral is "bacterial SSU rRNA". It matches the Rfam family "Bacterial small subunit ribosomal RNA", at positions 44 to 643 of the family's 1533-position model. The record is from RNAcentral.
GUGCUAACACAUGCAAGUCGAGCGUGUGGAGCCCUUCGGGGUGGAUCAGCGGCGAACGGGUGAGUAGCACGUGGGCAACCUGCCCCUAACACUGGGAUAACUCCGGGAAACCGGGGCUAAUACCGGAUACGACUGCGGACGGCAUCGUCUGUGGUGGAAAGUUCCGGCGGUUAGGGAUGGGCCCGCGGCCUAUCAGCUUGUUGGUGGGGUAAUGGCCCACCAAGGCGACGACGGGUAGCCGGCCUGAGAGGGCGACCGGCCACACUGGGACUGAGACACGGCCCAGACUCCUACGGGAGGCAGCAGUGGGGAAUAUUGCGCAAUGGGCGAAAGCCUGACGCAGCGACGCCGCGUGAGGGAUGAAGGCCUUCGGGUUGUAAACCUCUUUCAGCAGGGACGAAGCGAAAGUGACGGUACCUGCAGAAGAAGCACCGGCUAACUACGUGCCAGCAGCCGCGGUAAUACGUAGGGUGCAAGCGUNGUCCGGAUUUAUUGGGCCGUAAAAGAGCUCGUAGGCGGUCUGUCGCGUCNGAUGUGAAAACCCCAGGGCUUACCCCUGGGCCUGCAUUCGAUACGGGCCAGACUA